GAUGAAGUAGUGAGAGUUACAUUUUCUGAAGAGGGGAAAGCGGUAUUUAUAGAUGGAGAACCCCAAACGAUGCCGCCUCUUCAAACCCUAGUGGGUUCAAGGUUGUCGCCGCAGAAGAGGGAAGACCAGCGUGAAGGAAGGAGUCAACCUCCCACUCCUCUCGUAACGAUCUACAACGUUCAAAAAUCCAGCAGUGCGGAGGCGCCCAACUUCCGAUUCGUGCGACCACGAUCCAAGGUUGAAAGGGCAACGUUUGAUUUUCAACUUGGAAACUGUCUCCACUUCACCCAUGCUUCCGAGAUUUCCUCCAAGGGCACUAUGAAGAAGUUAGGGUUUUUCUGCGCAUCCUCUAUUUCUGUUUCUGCACUUUAUUUUGCAAUACAUACUCUGUUUUUACAACAAUCCCCCACAUAUUGCAAAAGAUAAAACAUAGAGAUAAGAAGAAGAAAAAAAUGGGUAUGUAAUGCACCAGAUCUGGUAUAGCAAGCUAUAUGAACUAGUCUUAGACUAAUGAACGUAACACAUAGUGUAGUUGGUAUAGCAAGCUAUAUGAACCAAGACACUUAGUAUGUGUUAGAGGUUUAUCAAUCACAAUACACCCUCACAUUACUUGUUGUUAUCGCUGUGUUGCGCUACUAGGUCAUGCGCGUGCCCGGUAUUCAUGAGUGCUAUAGAGAUCUUGCCAAGAUCUCAUGCAAGCGGCCCCACUUGACACUCAUAUAGGUGAUUUGUAAGGAUCUAGAAAAUAACUUAGAGUAGAAGUGGUAUAUUUUAAAUGAUACCUGAAUAUUUUAUUAUUAAAAUGAAAAUGACAUAUAAAUUGAAAAUUCAGUUAUUCAGGUUUCAUUUUAAAAUAACCACCAUCCCUCUAAAAGUUUCCUUUUCCUUUCUCUUCCUUCUCUCUAAGAUUCUGAUCUCUUCGCUCAUCAGUUUGGCGAUCGGAGUCUGCCGUUGGACUCUUGGUAAUGAACCCUAUAAGUUUGCCGGAUCAAAAUAUCAGAUAGAGUAAGUUCCUUAGAUUCUGAUCUCUUCGCUCAUCAGUUUGGCGAUCGGAGUCUGCCGUUGGACUCUUGGUAAUGAACCCUAUAAGUUUGCCGGAUCAAAAUAUCAGAUAGAGUAAGUUCCUUCUUGGCUCCUUUUUCUUUUGAGUUAAUUUUGAUCUUAUUAGAUUUUGUACGGGUUAAUCUUAGAUUUUGUACGGGUUAAUCUCUGUUAACUCAAGGUCCUAGUUCUAUAGUUAGAUUUUGAUUAGGACUCUGUGGUGCAGGUUAAUUACCUUUAGUUUUGGGUAGAUUUGGAGUUCUUAGUGAGCAUAAGCUAAAGUUCAGGUAAGGGAAGCUAGUCUUAUUAUUUUCAAUAAAACCCUAGGUUAGAAGAUUAUGUGGAGGUAACGUGGUCACCAAUUCCAAUUAUUUUUGCUUGCAGGAUUGUAAAGUAAUAUAUUGACUGGAAUGGUUGAUUUUGAAUCUUUUAUAUUGAUUUUAAGGUGAAUAAUUUGUUGAAACUGUUUGUGAUUGAGAAUAAGUGUUUGAAUGAUAAUAUAAAUGAGUUGAGCUAUUCUUUUUGAAUAUUUUGGUUGAAUUACUUAAGUGAGAUGUUUGAUGAGAAGUGGUUGUGUGAUUUCAGAUGAUGAUUGAUUUAAAGAGCAUAUAUUUGGAAUUAAUUAUGUGUUUUAAGUAAAGUUUGAGAUAUAUUUGGAUUGUUUAGAAAGNNNNNNNNNNNNNNNNNNNNNNNNNNNNNNNNNNNNNNNNNNNNNNNNNNNNNNNNNNNNNNNNNNNNNNNNNNNNNNNNNNNNNNNNNNNNNNNNNNNNNNNNNNNNNNNNNNNNNNNNNNNNNNNNNNNNNNNNNNNNNNNNNNNNNNNNNNNNNNNNNNNNNNNNNNNNNNNNNNNNNNNNNNNNNNNNNNNNNNNNNNNNNNNNNNNNNNNNNNNNNNNNNNNNAUUUGGCUGAUUCUGAGGUUUGAAAGAACUGAUCAGAGCAUAUCAAAUGGAUUUACCCUGUCAUAUGAAGAUGAUGAGAUGAUGAGAUAUUGAGAUAAUUAUGUGCAUGGCUGUGUGGGUUUCACAGCAGUAGUAUGACAGGUGCAGGUCUCUGGAUGCUAAUUUCAAUACACGAGUCUUCCGGAAGUAGAGUCAAGUGUCUAUGUGUUGUGAGUCAGUAAAAGUCUGACAUAUGAAAAAUGAAUUUUAUAAAUGUAAUAGACACUUGAGAAAUCAUGUGAGAAUUGAUGAAUUAUGCUUAUUAAUUUGAAAUUUAAAUUAUAUCAAAACAUUUUACAUAGAUAGCCUACCCUGUUAUUUGUUUGUGUUUGUUUCUCUAACUGUGAUGAUCGUGUAUUUACACGGGAGCAUAUGAGAUUGCAGGUAAUAGAGCUCCGCAGCAGAAGGAUUAGAUAGAUUUAAAUUGAAUGUUUUGCUUUGUUUUGUUUUUAAACUUUUUGGAUGUAUAUAUUAAAUCCUUAUGAAGAGGAAUAUAUUUUGAGAUACAAAUAUGAGAAAACAAUAUAUGUUUAUAUGUUAAUUAGAUAUUGUACAUUAAUUAGAUAUUGUACGCAUAUUUAUUUAUUUAUUUUUUUUUAAAAAAAAGUAAAAGUUAGGGAUGUUACAUGAUUUCAUCAAGUGUAUGCUGCAAAUUAUACACCACCCAUAAGGGAUAUGAAAAUCAUUAAAACUUUGUAAGUCAUUAAAACUAUUUUAUCUCUGAAUUUUAACCACAAAGUUUAUCCUCUCGAUUAUGCAGUAUCUAGCACUUUCACACACACCAUAGGAAUGGACAAAAUUGAUUUAAAAAUCAAUAUUAGUGCUAGCAGAACAAACAAGUGACUUGUUUUUACCCAUAUGAACCUUAUUCAUGGGAUCUCCAAUCACAAAGGUUGGGUUUUCAUCACUUGUUUGUUUGCAAGUGGCUUAAGUCCCAUUCCCCUCGAUGUUUCUAAAAUCAUUUUUCUCCCUAGGGGUUUUGUCAGAGGAUCUGCCAAAUUCCGUUCUGACUUGACAUAGUCAAUAGAAAUCGUUCCACUCUUUAACAACUGUUUCACCAAAUUGUGUCUCAAUUGUAUAUGUCUAUUCUUUCCAUUAUAGCUUUUAUUUUUAGCUAUAGCUAUUGCCGAUUGGCAAUCACAAUGCAUUGAUACAUAUGGGGUUGGUUUCAUUCCUAAAGGAAUGUUUGCUAAGAAGUUUUUCAACCACUCAACUUCACUACCAGCCAUUUCUAGAGCAACAAACUCAGAUUCCAUUGUUGAUCUUGCAAUAAUAGUUUGCCUGGCUGAUCUCCAUGUAACUGCACCACCCCCAAGUGUAAAUACAUAACCACUAGUGGAUUUUGUCUCAUCUGAAUCAGAGAUCCAGUUAGCAUCAUUGUACCCUUCUAGCACAGCGGGAAAUCCACUAUAUUCAAUGACAUAAUCCAUUGUACCUCUCAAGUAUUUCAUGAGUCUCGCAAGUGCUUCCCAAUGAUCCUGACUAGGACAUUGAGUGUAUCUACUCAAUCUACCUACUGCAUAAGCAAUAUCUGGUCUAGAAAAGCUCAUUAAAUGCAAUAAGCUCCCAAUUAUCUGGGCAUACUGAGUUUGAGAAAUAGAUUCUCCUCUGUUCUUCUUUAAUUUAGAGUUAGUAUCAUAAGGGGUACUCACUGACUUAAAGUCAUAGUAACCAAACUUCUUUAGAAGUUUCUCAGUGUAUUUUUCUUGUGAUAGUAAUAUACUAUCUCCCUUUCUUAUGAUUUUAACUCCUAGAAUCACACUGGCUUCACCCAUGUCUUUCAUCUCAAACUUAGAUCCAAGAAACAAUUUUGUUUUAAAAACUAUAUCAUUGCAUGUACCAAAAAUUAGCAUGUCAUCCACAUACAAACAUAUAAUGACAUAUUCACCAUUUUCAGAUCUAGAAUACACACAUUUAUCAGCAUCAUUGGUAGAAAAACCUUCACAAAGUAAAACAUUAUCAAGUUUUUCAUGCCAUUUUUUUGGUGCUUGUUUCAAACCAUACAAAGAUUUUAAAAGUUUGCAUACUUUUUCCUUUUGACCUGGAACUACACAUCCUUCAGGUUGAGUCAUAUAAAUUUCCUCUUCUAAUUCACCAUUCAGAAAAGCUGUUUUAACAUCCAUUUGGUGAAUUACUAACUUAUGGAUAGAUGCUAAGGCUAGCAAUACACGAAUAGAGGAAAUCCUAGUAACAGGUGCAAAAGUAUCAAAGUAAUUUAUGUUAUGUUUUUUAGUAACCCUUUAGCAACUAAUCUUGCCUUAUAUUUCUCUAUGGAUCCAUCAGGAUGGUACUUCUUCUUAAAGAUCCACUUACAACCAAUGGGUUUUGCUCCUUUAGGCAGAUCUACUAAGGUCCACGUAUUAUUUUUCUUUAUUGAAUCAAGCUCAAUUUUAAUGGCCUUAUCCCAAUGUUUAGCAUCAGGAGCACUAGUAGCUUCUACAAAACUUAUUGGAUCAUUCUCAACUAGAUAAGUAUAAAAGUCAUCUCCAAAAGAUGUUUCCUUUCUCUGUCUUUUACUUCUUCUUACAUCCUCACUCAAGGUAUCACUAACACUAUCUAUAGGUUGUUCAGAUGUACCACUACUCUUUAGAGGAAAGAUGUGUUCAAAGAACUCAGCGUUUUUUGUCUUUACUAUAGUGUUGCGUUCAAUUAUAUCACUAUUAAGAACUAGAAACCUAUAGGCAGCACUAUGUUCUGCAUAUCCUAAGAACAUACAAUCAGAUGUUUUAGAGCCUAUUUUCCUUUUCUUAGGAUCAGGUAACAUCACUUUAGCUAAACUCCCCCACACUCUUAGGUAUUUCAAAUUAGGUUGAUAACCUUUCUACAACUCAUAGGGUGUUUUACCAGUUUUCCUAUGUGGUAUCCUAUUUUGUAAAAAACACGCAGUAAGCAGAGAUUCACCCCAUAAAUUAUCAGGAGCAUUAGAACUAAUAAGCAUGGCAUUCAUCAUUUCUUUAAGAGUCCUAUUUUUCCUUUCAGCUACUCCAUUAGACUCAGGUGAAUAUGGUGGGGUUACUUCAUGAAUAAUACCUUCUUUUACACAAUAGUCAUUAAAUAAAACAUAUUCACCACUUCUAUCUGAUCUAAUUCUCUUAAUUUUCUUAUUAAGUUGAUUUUCUACUUCCGCUUUAUAAGUUAAAAACAUGUCGAAAGCUUCAUCCUUAUGUUUAAUUAAAUACACUUUGGUGUAUCUAGAAAAAUCAUCUAUAAAGGUUACAAAAUAAUUUUUACCACCUUUAGACAUGGUUUGUUUUAAAUCAGCAAGGUCGGUAUGAAUUAAACCAAGAAUUUCAGUUUGACGUUCUACAGAGUGACAUGUUUUCUUCGUUAUUUUAGAUUCUACGCAUACAUCACAUUUACUACUUUGUUUGUCAUGCAUGGUGAUUAAUCCUAGUCGUUGCAAUUUUAUAACAUAUGAAGAAUUCACAUGUCCUAAUCUAGCAUGCCAUAUAUCAUACGAGUCAACAAUAUAAGCAGAAGAUGUAGAUUCAUUCAUAAUUUCAGAAAUGUUUAAUACAAAAAGGCCUUGAUCACAAUAUCCCUUUCCCACAAAAACAUUGUUUUUUGUCAUAACAAUCUUAUCAGAUUCAAAUGACACUUUAACCCCAACUUUGCUUAGUAAUGCCACAGAGACCAAAUUAACUCUAAUUGAUGGUACAUGUAGCACAUCAUUCAAAGCUAGAGUUUGACCAGAUGUGAGCUUCAGAAGAACUUUUCCUUUUCCUAGGACAGGAGUUGUCCUGGAGUCACCGAGAUAUACUUGUNNNNNNNNNNNNNNNNNNNNNNNNNNNNNNNNNNNNNNNNNNNNNNNNNNNNNNNNNNNNNNNNNNNNNNNNNNNNNNNNNNNNNNNNNNNNNNNNNNNNNNNNNNNNNNNNNNNNNGAAACGACUGCCACAAUAGUAUCUUCCCCUUCGGCUAGAUUUGCCUUAGGAGGAUAGUCGUUUUUAGCCCUAUGUCUGCACUGAGGUGCAUGAUGGCCUGGCUUUCCACAUACAAAGCAAUUACCUUUUUUCUUGAAAGUGGGGUUAGUUCCACUGGGACGAGAGAAUUUGUUAUUAGGUUUCUUUUUGUGAUCAAAUUUUUUCUCGUACCUUUUUGGAGUUGGUUUGUCUUCUAUCACGUUUGCUUUGGCAGACAAAGCUUUGGCCUUUGCAGCAGCGCACUCCUUCCUGUUUGUGUCUUCAAUGAUGAUGUGGGUGAUCAAAUCUGAUAGAGACAUCUGUUUCUGUCUGUGCUUCAAUUGUUGUUUGUAAUCCGUCCAAGACUGCGGAAGCUUUUCGAUCAAGAGUUCGGACACGAAUUCAUCUGGCAAUUUUAUGCUUUCAGUUUUGAUAUCUUCAAUCAGCUUGUGAUAUUCGUUUAUUUGGAUUUUGAUGUCUUUGCCUUCGAUCAUCUCCCAGCGGUAGUAUUUUGCAAUUACGAACCUUUGUCUGACGAUGUCUUCGACAAUAUAUUUGAGGAUAAGAGAAUCCCAAAUAUCUUUCGCAUUCUUAUAAGAAGCAUAAACAUCGAACAGAUCGUUAGAUAACACACUGAGUAAAGUGUGACGGCAUACCUUAUUCUCAUGGAUCCAGUCGUCAACUUGUUUCGCAGCCGUGGUUGAGUCGGGUUUGGCAGUUGUAAGUGCAUGAGCAACUCCGUACAUGUCCAAUAGGGUGGACACGCGUUCUUGCCAACGUCGGAAGUUCUGACCGGUGAAGACUUCAAUUUUGGAGACGUCCGGAAAAGGUUUCGCAAAAAUGGUUUGUGUUGCGGAAACAACAUUUGAUGUUUCCGGAGCAGUGUUGUCGUUGUUGUUCGGAUUUUCAGCCAUAAGUCCUUACGAUUGUAGUUAAAAGGGCUUUAAAAUGAACAAAAAUAGUUUCCCGAGACGUGAGUAAUCACUGUCCGUAAGGACUUAUCCGCAGUGUAUUGCGUAAGUCCCCCAGGAUACAACAGGGACUUUCCGGUAAUUUUUGAGGAUCAGAACUAGCAAGUUUUUCUUUAAAAGAGUAAUACCAAAUAGAACCCAAAAAUAUUAUAAUAUUAAAAUAAAGAGGAGAGAUAAAGUGAAAAGUGGAAAUUGGGAAAAGAAGAAGAUGGUGAGCGGAGGAAGAAGAUGAAGUAGUGAGAGUUACAUUUUCUGAAGAGGGGAAAGCGGUAUUUAUAGAUGGAGAACCCCAAAGGAUGCCGCCUCUUCAAACCCUAGUGGGUUCAAGGUUGUCGCCGCAGAAGAGGGAAGACCAGCGUGAAGGAAGGAGUCAACCUCCCACUCCUCUCGUAACGAUCUACAACGUUCAAAAAUCCAGCAGUGCGGAGGCGCCCAACUUCCGAUUCGUGCGGCCACGAUCCAAGGUUGAAAGGGCAACGUUUGAUUUUCAACUUGGAAACUGUCUCCACUUCACCCAUGCUUCCGAGAUUUCCUCCAACGGCACUAUGAAGAAGUUAGGGUUUUUCUGCGCAUCCUCUAUUUCUGUUUCUGC
RNAcentral lists this long non-coding RNA (7440 nucleotides) under Phaseolus vulgaris (common bean). Its description in RNAcentral is "long non-coding RNA (PVUL_LNC004461)". The record is from RNAcentral. Lineage: Eukaryota; Viridiplantae; Streptophyta; Magnoliopsida; Fabales; Fabaceae.